Molecule: long non-coding RNA, 690 nt
Filed under: Nicotiana benthamiana
Lineage: Eukaryota; Viridiplantae; Streptophyta; Magnoliopsida; Solanales; Solanaceae
Description: long non-coding RNA (NBEN_LNC007704)
Source: RNAcentral
GGUAUAAUAGGGUUACCAGGCUUUUAUGCAACCAGAGAAGAUACGUCCUUCAAAAAAAAUUCCAGAGAACCCUAGCAUGUGACGAAAACCCUAGCUUUCGUUGUCAGAAAAUCCUAACUUGCAGAAAAACCGGUGGAAUCAGGUACAAGAGAUGUCGGAAAAUCACCCUAACACCUCGUUGAAAGAAUCAGCAACAAAUAACUCCGAUUUCACCAAAAAUCAAAGAAACACUCCAGAAUCUUCACCUUUAAAAAAACAGAAAUCAGAACCGAAAACGCCAUGAACUCAGACCAAAGAAUCGGGGAAGAUAGAGAGUAUGUCUAGGACUCCAGAAUCUUCACCGUUGAAAAAAAAACCAGAAAUCAAAACCGAAAAUGCCAUGAACUCAGACCAAAGAAUCGGGGAAGAUAUAGAGUAUGUCCAGGAGAAAUAUCCAGGCUCUGAUACCAUGAAAACAUGCUGAAUUAGAGUUGAAUCAAAGCUAGAAAGAGGUAAAAUAGAGAGAGAAGAAAGAGAAGUGAGCGAAAACCCUUCUCUAUAUUGAAAAUGAAAAUGAACCGACUGACUGAUUCUCGAUCCUUCUGACCCUAUAUCAACGUGGGUCAGAAAUUACAAGUGGGCCGAUUCUAACCCGAAUGGGAACAGGCCCAAUACUAAAUACAUAAGCGAGCCCAAAUCUGUUAUACAUAC